ACUCAAAGGAAUAGACGGGGACCCGCACAAGCGGUGGAUGAUGUGGAUUAAUUCGAUGCAACGCGAAAAACCUUACCUACCCUUGACAUGCCAGGAAUCCUGAUGAGAGUUGGGAGUGCUCGAAAGAGAGCCUGGACACAGGUGCUGCAUGGCUGUCGUCAGCUCGUGUCGUGAGAUGUUGGGUUAAGUCCCGCAACGAGCGCAACCCUUGUCAUUAAUUGCCACCAUUCAGUUGGGCACUUUAAUGAGACUGCCGGUGACAAACCGGAGGAAGGUGGGGAUGACGUCAAGUCCUCAUGGCCCUUAUGGGUAGGGCUUCACACGUCAUACAAUGGUCGGUACAGAGGGUUGCCAAGCCGCGAGGCGGAGCCAAUCCCACAAAGCCGAUCGUAGUCCGGAUCGGAGUCUGCAACUCGACUCCGUGAAGUCGGAAUCGCUAGUAAUCGUGGAUCAGCAUGUCACGGUGAAUACGUUCCCGGGUCUUGCACACACCGCCCGU
Molecule: ribosomal RNA, 499 nt
Filed under: uncultured bacterium
Lineage: Bacteria
Description: partial 16S ribosomal RNA
Rfam family: Bacterial small subunit ribosomal RNA
Source: RNAcentral